ACUGUCCUCCUCUUAAAAACGACCACAUAGGUCGUUUGUGCAAGCAGCAUAUUACGACCUAUUAUUACGUUUUAAAAUCAAGCGCCCUCUAGCGGCCGUAUUACGACAGUCUCGUUUGUCGGGUGUGUCGUCAUCAAAUGACCUUUGACUGUCGUUACCAUCGUUACCACCCAAAAAAAGGAGGCGUGACCCAACAUCUUACCAUGCGUUGUUGUCCAGUUUUGCAGUUUCUUCAUAUCACAUACAUCUCCAGCUCCUACAACAACAUUCAGUGUCCAGCAGCUCUUUAUGAUGCUCUCUCUCUCUCUCUCUCUCUCUCUCUCUCUCUCUCUCUCUCUCUCUCUCUCUCUCUCUCUCUCUCUCUCUCUCUCUCUCUCUCUCUCUCUCUCUCUCUCUCUCUCUCUCUCUCUUCUCUCUCUCUCUCUCUCUCUCUCUCAUUUUCCUUUCCUAUUUUUCUGAACUGUAAUUCAUAAAUAAGUCACACAUAUUUUUCUUUCUUUCUCUUGUUCAUCAUGGCAUAUUUUCACAGCUCAGAAUCAGAUUUUGAUCAGUUCUUGUAUUAACAGGGAACUUGUACUCGAAGCUCAACUUGAAGAAGUUUCCAGUGAAGAUGAAGUCCUUCAAAGGUUCGACACAGCUGAAAAGGAAGACCAUGGGCCUGUCAAACCUUGUUUGUGGAGAGGGAUGAAUUUGACCAUCUUGUGUGUUUACGGAGAAGACCAAAAGCUGCUAAGGCAGAUAUUUCCAGAGGAUUUCUGACAGAUUACUGAGUCCUUCUCCAUCAGCUCUCCACAAUAGCAGCCCUUCCAAAAGCAUCCACAUCACUCUCUCUUGUGUGGCACAUCUGCUCUCAGUCGUUAGCAUGUCUACUUGUAUUAUUUCUCCUCUAGUCAACACUCCCAUCUCUACUGUGAACACUCCUGUCACUAUCACCAUCCCACCUACUGUAUUCUAUAUGCCAUAUAUAUAUAUAUAUAUAUA
Molecule: long non-coding RNA, 981 nt
Organism: Carassius gibelio (silver crucian carp)
Lineage: Eukaryota; Metazoa; Chordata; Actinopteri; Cypriniformes; Cyprinidae
Exons: 4
Source: RefSeq, a predicted model, not a curated record